RNAcentral lists this long non-coding RNA (622 nucleotides) under Mytilus galloprovincialis (Mediterranean mussel). Lineage: Eukaryota; Metazoa; Mollusca; Bivalvia; Mytilida; Mytilidae. The record is from RNAcentral.
CGUCUACUAUGUAAUAGAUAAAUUGAAAACUUAUGCAAAUAGUGUUUUUACAAUAAAACACUUUGUAAUCGAGAAGAAAAUUGUCGUUUUAUUUGUUUCUAUUAACUUUUAAAAUUUUGGUUACUAUAGUAAACAUUACAGUAAGCAUUUAUCGCCUUCUCUAACAUGUCUAACAAAGAGCUUCGAUUCUUUUGUUCUAUUUCAACUGGGUUUCCACCUGCAUAGGCCUAUGUUGUCUUUUUUUUAUAUAGUAUAACAUAUGUUUACAAAGAAAGAUAAAUAUAUGAAUGCAUUUAAAAUAAAAUAUUUUAAAGCAUAAAGUAUUUAAAUAAUUAGCAAGAGAUGAUGAGACUAUGUUUUUUUUAAUAUUUGAUAAUGUCAUGCGUACAUCUGUACAUUGUAACUGAAGAGCAAGUAUCAAAUUUAUAUCGUCACCACCGGGAUUCGAACCCCGGUCGCCUGCGUGACAGUCAGUGCGUUAACCCACUGAGCCAAAAAAUCGAUUCCCUCGCUCAAAUGAUUAAGACUGGCUUUAUAUGUUCUACCUGUACUAAGGAGGGGAAGCAACCCCGCUACACUAUUCCCCCACCGCAAGAGUCAUCAUAUCUUUAUACAUGUAUUA